AGUUUUAAGUGAAGAGUUUGAUCCUGGCUCAGAGUGAACGCUGGCGGUAGGCCUAACACAUGCAAGUCGAACGGCAGCAC
RNAcentral lists this ribosomal RNA (80 nucleotides) under Stenotrophomonas maltophilia. RNAcentral's name for it is "partial 16S ribosomal RNA". It matches the Rfam family "Bacterial small subunit ribosomal RNA", at positions 1 to 75 of the family's 1533-position model. The record is from RNAcentral. Lineage: Bacteria; Pseudomonadati; Pseudomonadota; Gammaproteobacteria; Lysobacterales; Lysobacteraceae.